Molecule: ribosomal RNA, 1158 nt
Filed under: Klebsiella pneumoniae
Lineage: Bacteria; Pseudomonadati; Pseudomonadota; Gammaproteobacteria; Enterobacterales; Enterobacteriaceae
Description: bacterial SSU rRNA
Rfam family: Bacterial small subunit ribosomal RNA
Source: RNAcentral
UCGUUUUUCUGCUACCAUGCAGUCGAGCGGUAGCACAGAGAGCUUGCUCUCGGGUGACGAGCGGCGGACGGGUGAGUAAUGUCUGGGAAACUGCCUGAUGGAGGGGGAUAACUACUGGAAACGGUAGCUAAUACCGCAUAACGUCGCAAGACCAAAGUGGGGGACCUUCGGGCCUCAUGCCAUCAGAUGUGCCCAGAUGGGAUUAGCUAGUAGGUGGGGUAACGGCUCACCUAGGCGACGAUCCCUAGCUGGUCUGAGAGGAUGACCAGCCACACUGGAACUGAGACACGGUCCAGACUCCUACGGGAGGCAGCAGUGGGGAAUAUUGCACAAUGGGCGCAAGCCUGAUGCAGCCAUGCCGCGUGUAUGAAGAAGGCCUUCGGGUUGUAAAGUACUUUCAGCGGGGAGGAAGGCGAUAAGGUUAAUAACCUUGUCGAUUGACGUUACCCGCAGAAGAAGCACCGGCUAACUCCGUGCCAGCAGCCGCGGUAAUACGGAGGGUGCAAGCGUUAAUCGGAAUUACUGGGCGUAAAGCGCACGCAGGCGGUCUGUCAAGUCGGAUGUGAAAUCCCCGGGCUCAACCUGGGAACUGCAUUCGAAACUGGCAGGCUAGAGUCUUGUAGAGGGGGGUAGAAUUCCAGGUGUAGCGGUGAAAUGCGUAGAGAUCUGGAGGAAUACCGGUGGCGAAGGCGGCCCCCUGGACAAAGACUGACGCUCAGGUGCGAAAGCGUGGGGAGCAAACAGGAUUAGAUACCCUGGUAGUCCACGCCGUAAACGAUGUCGAUUUGGAGGUUGUGCCCUUGAGGCGUGGCUUCCGGAGCUAACGCGUUAAAUCGACCGCCUGGGGAGUACGGCCGCAAGGUUAAAACUCAAAUGAAUUGACGGGGGCCCGCACAAGCGGUGGAGCAUGUGGUUUAAUUCGAUGCAACGCGAAGAACCUUACCUGGUCUUGACAUCCACAGAACUUGCCAGAGAUGCCUUGGUGCCUUCGGGAACUGUGAGACAGUGCUGCAUGGCUGUCGUCAGCUCGUGUUGUGAAAUGUUGGGUUAAGUCCCGCAACGAGCGCAACCCUUAUCCUUUGUUGCCAGCGGUAGGCCGGCACUCAAGAGACUGCCCAGUGAUAAACUGGAGGAAGGGUGGGGAUGACGUCAAGUCAU